UACGAAGGGGGCUAGCGUUGUUCGGAAUUACUGGGCGUAAAGGGCGCGUAGGCGGUCCCUCAAGUCAGGCGUGAAAGCCCCGGGCUCAACCUGGGAACCGCGCUUGAGACUGGUGGGCUAGAGUUCGGGAGAGGAUGGUGGAAUUCCCAGUGUAGAGGUGAAAUUCGUAGAUAUUGGGAAGAACACCGAUGGCGAAGGCAGCCAUCUGGACCGACACUGACGCUGAGGCGCGAAAGCGUGGGGAGCAAACAGGAUUAGAAACCCCCGUAGUCC
Molecule: ribosomal RNA, 273 nt
Filed under: uncultured bacterium
Lineage: Bacteria
Description: partial 16S ribosomal RNA
Rfam family: Bacterial small subunit ribosomal RNA
Source: RNAcentral